This 464-nucleotide ribosomal RNA is filed under the name uncultured bacterium. RNAcentral's name for it is "bacterial SSU rRNA". It matches the Rfam family "Bacterial small subunit ribosomal RNA", at positions 29 to 506 of the family's 1533-position model. The record is from RNAcentral.
AUGAACGCUGGCGGCGUGCUUAAUACAUGCAAGUCGAACGGAGAAUUUGCAGCAAUGUGAGUUCUUAGUGGCGAAUGGGUGAGUAACACGUAGGUGACCUGCCCUGAAGUGGGGAACAACAGCUCGAAAGGGCUGCUAAUACCGCAUACGGCUCUAAGGGUUAGAGACCUUAGAACUAAAGCAGUAAUGCGCUUCAGGAGGGACCUGCGGUCCAUCAGCUAGUUGGUGGGGUAACGGCCUACCAAGGCGACGACGGAUAGGGGACCUGAGAGGGUGAUCCCCCACACUGGCACUGAAAUACGGGCCAGACACCUGCGGGUGGCAGCAGUAGGGAAUAUUGCACAAUGGGCGAAAGCCUGAUGCAGCAACGCCGCGUGCACGAUGAAGGCUCUAUGAGUCGUAAAGUGCUUUUCGGGGAGAUGAGAAAGGACAGUAUCCCCGGAAUAAGUCACGGCUAACUACGU